RNAcentral lists this ribosomal RNA (490 nucleotides) under uncultured bacterium. Its description in RNAcentral is "partial 16S ribosomal RNA". It matches the Rfam family "Bacterial small subunit ribosomal RNA", at positions 30 to 507 of the family's 1533-position model. The record is from RNAcentral.
AUUGAACGCUGGCGGCAGGCCUAACACAUGCAAGUCGAACGGUAACAGGAAGAAGCUUGCUUCUUUGCUGACGAGUGGCGGACGGGUGAGUAAUGUCUGGGAAACUGCCUGAUGGAGGGGGAUAACUACUGGAAACGGUAGCUAAUACCGCAUAACGUCGCAAGCCCAAAAAGGGGGACCUUCGGGCCUCUUGCCAUCGGCUGUGCCCAGAUGGGAUUAGCUAGUAGGUGGGGUAACGGCUCACCUAGGCGACGAUCCCUAGCUGGUCUGAGAGGAUGACCAGCCACACUGGAACUGAGACACGGUCCAGACUCCUACGGGAGGCAGCAGUGGGGAAUAUUGCACAAUGGGCGCAAGCCUGAUGCAGCCAUGCCGCGUGUAUGAAGAAGGCCUUCGGGUUGUAAAGUACUUUCAGCGGGGAGGAAGGGAGUAAAGUUAAUACCUUUGCUCAUUGACGUUACUCGCAGAAGAAGCACCGGCUAACUCCGUG